UGAGGAAUUUUGCACAAUGGGGGAAACCCUGAUGCAGCGACGCCGCGUGAGUGAUGAAGGUCUUCGGAUCGUAAAGCUCUGUCAGCAGGGAAGAAAUAUGCGAUGGCUAAUAUCCAUUGUAUUUGACGGUACCUGCAAAGGAAGCACCGGCUAACUCUGUGCCAGCAGCCGCGGUAAUACAGAGGGUGCGAGCGUUGUUCGGAUUUACUGGGCGUAAAGGGCGCGUAGGCGGCCUAUCAAGUCAGGUGUGAAAGCCCACGGCUCAACCGUGGAAGUGCAUCUGAAACUGGCAGGCUUGAGUACUGGAGGGGAGUGUGGAAUUCCCGGUGUAGAGGUGAAAUUCGUAGAUAUCGGGAGGAAUACCGGUGGCGAAGGCGACACUCUGGACAGAUACUGACGCUGAGGCGCGAAAGCGUGGGGAGCAAACAGG
Molecule: ribosomal RNA, 430 nt
Filed under: uncultured bacterium
Lineage: Bacteria
Description: bacterial SSU rRNA
Rfam family: Bacterial small subunit ribosomal RNA
Source: RNAcentral